RNAcentral lists this ribosomal RNA (944 nucleotides) under Aptenocanthon monteithi. Its description in RNAcentral is "SSU rRNA". It matches the Rfam family "Eukaryotic small subunit ribosomal RNA", at positions 17 to 899 of the family's 1831-position model. Lineage: Eukaryota; Metazoa; Arthropoda; Insecta; Coleoptera; Scarabaeidae. The record is from RNAcentral.
CCAGUAGUCAUAUGCUUGUCUCAAAGAUUAAGCCAUGCAUGUCUCAGUACAAGCCAAAUUAAGGUGAAACCGCGAAAGGCUCAUUAAAUCAGUUAUGGUUCCUUAGAUCGUACCCACAUUUACUUGGAUAACUGUGGUAAUUCUAGAGCUAAUACAUGCAAACAGAGCUCCGACCGGAGACGGAAGGAGCGCUUUUAUUAGAUCAAAACCAAUCGGUGGCGGGUCCGUCCCGUCACCGUACACCUUGGUGACUCUGAAUAACUUUUUGCUGAUCGCACGGUCUCGCACCGGCGACGCAUCUUUCAAAUGUCUGCCUUAUCAACUGUCGAUGGUAGGUUCUGCGCCUACCAUGGUUGUAACGGGUAACGGGGAAUCAGGGUUCGAUUCCGGAGAGGGAGCCUGAGAAACGGCUACCACAUCCAAGGAAGGCAGCAGGCGCGCAAAUUACCCACUCCCGGCACGGGGAGGUAGUGACGAAAAAUAACGAUACGGGACUCAUCCGAGGCCCCGUAAUCGGAAUGAGUACACUCUAAACCCUUUAACGAGGAUCAAUUGGAGGGCAAGUCUGGUGCCAGCAGCCGCGGUAAUUCCAGCUCCAAUAGCGUAUAUUAAAGUUGUUGCGGUUAAAAAGCUCGUAGUCGAAUUUGUGUCCCGCGCCGCCGGUUCAUCGCUCGCGGUGUCAACUGGCGUGUCCGCGGGACGUCCUGCCGGUGGGCUUAGCCCCCCGUGGGCGGCCCAAUCUCAAUCCCACCGCGGUGCUCUUCACUGAGUGUCGAGGUGGGCCGGCACGUUUACUUUGAACAAAUUAGAGUGCUUAAAGCAGGCUAAAACUUCGCCUGAAUACUGUGUGCAUGGAAUAAUGGAAUAGGACCUCGGUUCUAUUUUGUUGGUUUUCGGAACCCCGAGGUAAUGAUUAAUAGGAACGGAUGGGGGCAUUCGUAUUG